ACCAUUGUAGUAUAAGUUAAGUAUAGUUGCCUUCCAAGCAGCGGGUUUAGAAGCUCUAGCAAUGGGU
Molecule: transfer RNA, 67 nt
Filed under: Lithophaga curta
Lineage: Eukaryota; Metazoa; Mollusca; Bivalvia; Mytilida; Mytilidae
Description: tRNA-Gly
Source: RNAcentral